CUUUAUUGGAGAGUUUGAUCCUGGCUCAGGAUGAACGCUGGCGGCGUGCCUAAUACAUGCAAGUCGAGCGAAUGGAUUAAGAGCUUGCUCUUAUGAAGUUAGCGGCGGACGGGUGAGUAACACGUGGGUAACCUGCCCAUAAGACUGGGAUAACUCCGGGAAACCGGGGCUAAUACCGGAUAACAUUUUGAACCGCAUGGUUCGAAAUUGAAAGGCGGCUUCGGCUGUCACUUAUGGAUGGACCCGCGUCGCAUUAGCUAGUUGGU
Molecule: ribosomal RNA, 266 nt
Filed under: Bacillus sp. cl115
Lineage: Bacteria; Bacillati; Bacillota; Bacilli; Caryophanales; Bacillaceae
Description: 16S rRNA. Bacterial SSU
Rfam family: Bacterial small subunit ribosomal RNA
Source: RNAcentral